This 467-nucleotide ribosomal RNA is filed under the name uncultured bacterium. Its description in RNAcentral is "partial 16S ribosomal RNA". It matches the Rfam family "Bacterial small subunit ribosomal RNA", at positions 28 to 507 of the family's 1533-position model. The record is from RNAcentral.
GACGAACGCUGGCGGCGUGCUUAACACAUGCAAGUCGAACGGAAAGGCCUCUUUCGGGGGGUACUCGAGUGGCGAACGGGUGAGUAACACGUGAGUAACCUGCCCUUGACUUUGGGAUAACUUCAGGAAACUGGGGCUAAUACCGGAUAGGAGCUCCUGCUGCAUGGUGGGGGUUGGAAAGUUUCGGCGGUUGGGGAUGGACUCGCGGCUUAUCAGCUUGUUGGUGGGGUAGUGGCUUACCAAGGCUUUGACGGGUAGCCGGCCUGAGAGGGUGACCGGCCACAUUGGGACUGAGAUACGGCCCAGACGCCUACGGGAGGCAGCAGUGGGGAAUAUUGCUCAAUGGGUGGAAGCCUGAUGCAGCAACGCCGUGUGCGGGAGGACGGCCUUCGGGUUGGAAACCGCUUUCGCUCAUGACGAAGCUUUGUGUGACGGUAGUGGGUAAAGAAGCACCGGCUAACUACGUG